This 468-nucleotide ribosomal RNA is filed under the name uncultured bacterium. RNAcentral describes it as "partial 16S ribosomal RNA". It matches the Rfam family "Bacterial small subunit ribosomal RNA", at positions 28 to 507 of the family's 1533-position model. The record is from RNAcentral.
GACGAACGCUGGCGGCGUGCUUAACACAUGCAAGUCGAACGGAAAGGCCCUGAGUUUGUGGGGUGCUCGAGUGGCGAACGGGGGAGUAACACGUGAGUAACCUGCCCUUGACUUUGGGAUAAAUUCAGGAAACUGGGGCUAAUACAGGAUAGGAGCUCCUGCUGCAUGGGGGGGGUUGGAAAGAUUCGGCGGUUGGGGAUGGAAUCGCGGCUUAUCAGCUUGUUGGUGGGGUAGUGGAUUACCAAGGCUUUGACGGGUAGCCGGCCUGGGAGGUUGACCGGCCACAUUGGUACUGAGAUACGGCCCAGACUCCUACGGGAGGCAGCAGUGGGGAAUAUUGCGCAGUGGGCCGAAGCCUGAUGCAGCAACGCCGCGUGCGUGAUGACGUCCUUCGGGUUGUAAACCGCUGUCGCCUGUGACGAAGCGUGAGUGACGGUAAUGGGUAAAGAAGCACCGGCUAACUACGUG